Non-coding RNA from Agelaius phoeniceus (red-winged blackbird), 1189 nucleotides. The record is from RefSeq and is a predicted model, not a curated record. NCBI's taxonomy places the organism in Eukaryota, Metazoa, Chordata, Aves, Passeriformes, Icteridae.
AAUAUGGAUCUGCAGGACAUUCAGCAGCCUGUGCUGAAACUGGAGUAUCUGCAGAUCCACAGCUUAUCAAUAACAGUCAUUGAUAGUGCAGGCACAGCUGCUCGUUGUGAUAACACCUUUGGACUGCAACACCUUCUUGCCCAGGGUGAUCAGGCAAGCUCAGCCAAUCAUUCCAAAGUCCAUCCCAAGGGAUGUGUGCCAAGAACCAGGUGCCUUCUCUGUAUCAGAGCAACACCUUCUUCCCCUCCUCUUCUCUAGCUGCUGACUUAUUUUGGUUUGGUUUAGGCAGGUUGUUUGUUUUCAGUACUCUCUAAUUUUCUUCUUAAGUAAUGUUCAGUUUUGCUGUACAGACCACAAGUGAGUAAAAACUGCAACAUUUCCAGAAUUUUCUGAUCUCUCUUCUCCACUGGGAACUGGGCAGUGAUGUCAUGUUGCUUGGCUGCCUCCCUGCUGCAGCUCAUGGCAUGCAGCACUGGGGAUAACCCUGCAGUGGCUGCAGCUUUUUGAUAGGAUGGUGUUGGUGUUUGCCUGCUGUAGCUGCACACAUGGUCCAUGAUGAUAAGCUGAGAGAAACAAGACACAAAAGACUGAAUGAAGAUCAGAAUAGCCACUAUUAAUUUGCUUUUCCCCCAAAAGGAUGGGCACUGGCUGCACUAAUUGUGCUUAUCAUGGAAUCAUUCAGGUUGGAAAAGGUCAUUGAGAUCAUCGAGUCCAAAUCUACACUGAAAAUGUCACAGUUUCCAGCUGCAGCAAGCUCUGGUCCAACCUGAGUACUCUGCAAAGCAGACUAUCACAGACUAGAUGCUCUCAGAUUCCAUGGUUAACAUACGUUAAGAGACAAAAGAUCUCCAGCUGGACCGUAAAUGAGGGAAAACAACAUUCUUUGCUUCCUUCUAAAACAGUUAAUUCUAUAAAUUCAGAUGGUGAUAUUAUGCAAUACUCUGCACGGAGUGGGAGGUGGAACACACAUAUGCUCAAGUAUGUGGCAUGCUCUAUAAAAAGUAAGUGUGGGAGCCUCUGCAAUUCCUAUCUCAAUUCUUAUCUCAGUUGCUAACUUAACUUCUUCCUUGUUCAAAUCCCCUCAGUCCCUCUCUCACUGUCACUCCAGCCUGUCACACUUCUGCAUGUGAAGAGGCCAUCUGGACCCGAAAUAUUGGUUUACAAAAUAAAUACAGGCUCUUGCUAUUUA